This 927-nucleotide ribosomal RNA is filed under the name Coomera brayi. RNAcentral's name for it is "eukaryotic LSU rRNA". It matches the Rfam family "Eukaryotic large subunit ribosomal RNA", at positions 40 to 647 of the family's 3401-position model. Lineage: Eukaryota; Metazoa; Platyhelminthes; Trematoda; Strigeidida; Fellodistomidae. The record is from RNAcentral.
AUAUCACUAAGCGGAGGAAAAGAAACUAACAAGGAUUCCCCCAGUAACGGCGAGUGAACAGGGAAUAGCCCAGCACCGAAGCCUGUGGCCAUUUGGUCACCAGGCAAUGUGGUGUUCAGGUCAUCUCGCAGAAGCACUGCCCCGCUGUAAGUCCAGCAAUGAGUAUGGCAAUUUGAACAUGGCCCAGAGAGGGUGAAAGGCCCGUAUGAGUGGGGUGCAGAAACGUCAGUGCUUCUCUGAGUAGACCUUGGAGUCGGGUUGUUUGUGAAUGCAGCCCAAAGUGGGUGGUAAACUCCAUCCAAGGCUAAAUACUUACACGAGUCCGAUAGCAAACAAGUACCGUGAGGGAAAGUUGAAAAGUACUUUGAAGAGAGAGUAAACAGUGCGUGAAACCGCUCAGAGGUAAACAGGUGGAGUUGAACUGCAAGCUCCGAGAAUUUAACUGGUGAGAGUGGCAUAUGCUUGGAUAUGUUGAUUGGCACACGGAGUCUGCUUAGCUGCAGGCCCUGCUUCGGUGGGGUGCGAGAAACCACUUGUCAAGUGCUGUGCGCUCCGAGGGUACAUCGAGUCAACUUGCCAGUGCACUUUCUCAGAGUGAUCACCACGACCGGCGCUGUCGUCUGUCUGCUGAGAUCAAACCGUGAAUACUUCGUUCCCGUAGCGCUGUAGGCACGGGAUGGCAGGUAACUUGCCUGAGCAUGCUUAUGUGAGUGUAAUCGCUGAUCUCAGUGGUACUGUGCGGUGCGCCGGAGACGGCGGUCUGUGGUGCGUACAUGCGCAUUCAGUGGAUGGCGAGUGUGGGCUUGGUUGCCAUGUUGCUUGCAAAUGCAGGCCUGGUGAUAGCUCGUGCUUGUUGGACAUUGAGCUGUGUGUGGGGCACAUUAGCGGGCCAAUAGUCUGUGGUGUAGUGGUAGACGUUCCACCUGA